CUUGUUGUCCUAGGCGGCUAGGCGUAAGGAGCAAUGAAGGUGAGAGAGACGGAGGUGGUUGAAGUGUGGAUUACCCGCGUAAGCUCGUGCCGAAAUGAUAAAGAAAAUCUACGAGUCAAACCGAAGGGUUAUCAAAUUGUUUAGUGGCUCCCAACUCUGAAGUGUUCAACAGUUCAAUCACGACCUGUGCCUCCGAGGUCCCAACUCCUGACGAGAGCGUUUUCGCACAACAAAGGAAUUCAGUCCUGUAUAGGCACGCUGUGCAGCUGACCCGGUUGGCUGCCAUUUGGGUCCCGUGUUUAACAAGCAGCUCCGGCGGAAGCCCCGUUUGGAUGCAACCCCAAGCUUACGAAGGCAGGGAGAACCGAAGAAGCUGGAAGGGACGGCGACGACGAGGACGAAGUGGUGGAUGGCUGGAGAGGCGCCGAGCAGGGACAGGAAGAACUGGAGCUCGCCGCUGGCCGCCAGCCCCCACGGCCGCCGCUAGUAAGCUGUCAAGACGUAGGGCGGCAAGGGACGAAGAUUAAGGAGCCGCCAUCGAGGGGUCACCACCAGCGAAGAACGAGAGGGGACGAGCUCGAGCCGGCGAUGUGGAGCAGCCACCUCCGGAGAAGAAGCGGCGGAUGCGCCGCCGCCUGCAAAGCCUGUGAAAAAAAAAUCCCCGAUGGCCCCAAGUGUUUCUCGUGACCCUGAACGGCGAACGUGAGAAAAACUCAAUCUUUCUUUAUACCCCUAGGCGGACGUGGUUUCGUUGAAUCAACAGAAGGGUAACAUUGGUGAAAAUCA
Long non-coding RNA from Setaria italica (foxtail millet), 786 nucleotides. RefSeq lists it as uncharacterized. The record is from RefSeq and is a predicted model, not a curated record. NCBI's taxonomy places the organism in Eukaryota, Viridiplantae, Streptophyta, Magnoliopsida, Poales, Poaceae. The transcript has 3 exons.